UAGUUAUUGACCUUUAUAGACGUAUAAAAAUGGGUUUUUAGUUAGGUUUAGAGCCAAACAGACCUUAAGUCUGUUUAGCUAUAUAAAGGGUUGAGAAGGGUCGAUUAUUGCCCUUUGUAAAACUGAUAUAUUUAUAGGAAACAGAGGAGGAAAGAAAAGCAAGAAAAGAGAAGAGAAGAGGGAGUGCAACUGCUACCUCUCUGUUGAUACUGAGGUUGUUGUUAUUACCAUGCAUGUAUUCUUGCAUGCUAUCUACAGCAGGAAGAGACUACCAAAGAUGUUGCUACUACAAGAAGUUGGAAUCCGAGCUGCCCAAUUGUUAGUGGAGUCACCUGCACACCUCUAUAACACAGGAGAUAUGGCGGAACCUGAACUAAAGUGGAUCGAGAGACUCAGCAAGGGUUGUGAGGCUGUGUUUGCGUGACAUCAUAUGGAAGACUGAGAUAUCUUUUUCUUUUAAGAUUCUAUUAUUAUGCUUGUAAGGUAUAUCUUAUUAUGGUAAUUGUGUGUUGUGAACAAAUUGAGUCUGUAAUUAUUAUUUAUCAUUUAGAUUUGAUCAUCAUGGGUUAUGCAAAUUAUGAAUUUCCCUUA
Molecule: long non-coding RNA, 591 nt
Organism: Macadamia integrifolia
Lineage: Eukaryota; Viridiplantae; Streptophyta; Magnoliopsida; Proteales; Proteaceae
Exons: 2
Source: RefSeq, a predicted model, not a curated record